AGGGCACCGAUUGAUGUCCCU
RNAcentral lists this small nuclear RNA (21 nucleotides) under Arabidopsis thaliana (thale cress). RNAcentral's name for it is "snRNA_14961". The record is from RNAcentral. Lineage: Eukaryota; Viridiplantae; Streptophyta; Magnoliopsida; Brassicales; Brassicaceae.